UAGCUUUUGUAAAUAAAUAAAAUAAAAUUGGAACGAUACAGAGAAGAUUAGCAUGGCCUCUUCACAAGGGAUGACUGGGCAAAUUCGUGAAGCGUUCCAUAUUUUU
Molecule: small nuclear RNA, 106 nt
Organism: Peromyscus eremicus (cactus mouse)
Lineage: Eukaryota; Metazoa; Chordata; Mammalia; Rodentia; Cricetidae
Source: RefSeq, a predicted model, not a curated record